ACAGAAGUAAACGCAAUUAGUCAAGAAGAGAUGUUUGUAUCAAAAGGAGAGAAACUAAAGAGUGAAAGAGAGAGAGAGUGUGUGUUUGAAUAUACAUGUUUAGUAUGAAAAGAAAUUUCUCAAUUCAGUUUCAAAAUGUCGACAGGUAAAAUAGCAUGCACAAAAGCAUUCAUAGAUGUACAAAGAUCCAAGUUAACUGGAUUAUUAAAUCGGCUCAUGUCACUGUAUAUACUCCAGUAGUCCUUUUUAAGUUGAGUUUCGAAAAUAUUAUGAAAACUUAUUGAGUUUUUGAUAUCACUCAAUUUAGCCUAAGUGAUUUGUACUCUCUCAAAUAAGAGGUCGAGUUGUAAUAUUUACGGAUCGAAUCCACAAUAAAUUGGGGCACACAAAAGAUCUUAAACAUAUUAUAAUUAAGUUAGGUCAAUUAUGGAAAUAGUAAAUUGCAGUGGUAAACAAGGCAGUUGUUCGGUUGAUUGGUUUUAGGUUUUGUAAACAAUAAUGAAAAACCGUUAGACUUGGGGG
Molecule: long non-coding RNA, 522 nt
Filed under: Brassica napus (rape)
Lineage: Eukaryota; Viridiplantae; Streptophyta; Magnoliopsida; Brassicales; Brassicaceae
Description: long non-coding RNA (BNAP_LNC019907)
Source: RNAcentral